RNAcentral lists this ribosomal RNA (248 nucleotides) under uncultured Blautia sp. RNAcentral describes it as "partial 16S ribosomal RNA". It matches the Rfam family "Bacterial small subunit ribosomal RNA", at positions 524 to 771 of the family's 1533-position model. Lineage: Bacteria; Bacillati; Bacillota; Clostridia; Lachnospirales; Lachnospiraceae. The record is from RNAcentral.
UACGUAGGGGGCAAGCGUUAUCCGGAUUUACUGGGUGUAAAGGGGGCGCAGACGGCGAUGCAAGCCAGGAGUGAAAGCCCGGGGCCCAACCCCGGGACUGCUCUUGGAACUGCGUGGCUGGAGUGCAGGAGGGGCAGGCGGAAUUCCUGGUGUAGCGGUGAAAUGCGUAGAUAUAUGGAGGAACACCGGUGGCGAAGGCGGCUGCCUGGCCUGUAACUGACGUUGAGGCUCGAAAGCGUGGGGAGCAA